GCCGGAGCCGCUCAGCUCCUCCUAGCGCGCGCCAGCCCGCUGCCGCCGCCUCCCGCCGGAGCUGCUCGCCUCCUUCACGUGCUCGCCCGCCGGAGCCGCCUCACCCUACCCACCGCUGCCUGCUUCCCUGCUCGCGCCGCGCCGUGAUGGAGAGGAAAGAGAGGCGGGGUCUGCUCGCCCUACCCCGCCGCCUCCUCGCGUGCGCAGGCCGGACAUCCAGGCGUCGCCGCCGGAAAGGGGAUAUGAGGUGGCGGAGAUUCUUGCUAGGAGGAGGAGAGGGGGCCAUUGGAGGAGGGCUAGAGGUCGCUGCGCAUGGCCCGUGGGCGGUGGAGAGAUGAAGCCAGGAGGACGUCAGCGUCGGCGAGGUUGACUGGGCAAGAGGCGAGCGUCAACAGACGUUCCAGGGAGGAGCAGUCCGCUGGCGCGGUCGCAUGAGAGGGUGCCGACCGGAGGCAGAGCCGAGGACCCCUAGGACCGCACCCGCGCCACCACUGCUGCCAUCGUCAACAUCCUAUAUGAUUUUUCGUUGUUGUUGUUAUCAGGGAUGCGCUGGAACAAGGGCACAGGACCAGGGCCGCUGGACAUCAUCGAUGCUAGCAGAUAAGGACACCAACAACAGUUGAGGUUGAUGUUCCAUAUUCAUGCUUGCAAUGUGUUUGAUGAAAUGUUUAACUAGCACUAGCAUCAUCUCUUGUUUACAAUUUGACUAUUUGUAUUGAUGUCAUACUAACCAAAUUUCAGGUUGAUUGUUUACUGCUUUCAAAUUAACAAUUCAAUGGUUCUUGAUGUGUUCUACUUAACCUUUGCAUUUGUAGUAGUGUAAUUCUGAAGGUACAAAACACUAUUUCUACUGAACUUCGUCAAUUUAAGCAAAACUUUUGAACAUAUGGUCAUCCAUUGAGGCUCCCGCAAUUCCAGUUUGCAUGUUCUGCCACCAUUUUGGAUCAUAUUUUCCAUGCUUAUGGAAGGACUUAAUGAACUGAAGUAGUUUGUGUUGGCAGUGAUCUCCAUUGGAUAUCCCGUCUCUUCAGCCGGUCGUCAAUGAUACAACCAGGUCACGCAUGAGGUAGCAGUCCACUCCAACCCACCUACUGAAGACUUGUCUCAUUUGGUUUGAUUGAUGCGUGGAGUGAGGCACAUGCUGUCCAGAUCAAGUAGAACAUCAGCUUAUGAGAUCUGAAAGCAACAAAAGGUUGCCAUAUGUUCAUCUGGAGUCUGAAAGCUGGCCUUGGUCUGCUUCAUUUUGGUGUUGUUGUGACUCCAACCGGUGACCGGAGCCCGUACUCACCGCUAGCUACCAUCCCCAACCUGCCCCAAUCUUUCUCCAGGUUAUGUUGCUAGCACUUGAUCUGUACACGCUGUGGGAUAAUUGCUUGUUGACAAGGAAGAUCAAAUCCUGAUGGUGGAAGAAUGGCACCCCCUGUGCUCCAGCUAACAAUCUGAUUAGUUUCCUAGAUGCUUGAUUAUUGAUUUUAUGUGUGAUCAUUUUAUUUUGUUUUUGUAUCAGGGCUGCAUAGAGUAUAAAAGCUUUGCCCCCCUAUGCUUGCACUGAGAGACUCUUCCGUAGCUGUCAUCGCAUAUAGUGUUGCAAGCAGUAUCCUAAACACUUAAAAGUAGGACUCACUAAAUUGAAGAAAAAACAAAUAGCUCUACCUUGCUUAUGAUGGUCCUUCAUAUUGGAGCACAUCUUCCAUGGGUCUGUAGCAGCUCAUCCUGCUCAAGGUUGACUAUAAGUUUUGGUCAGUGAAGGGGAUGUAAUUAGUAAUGGAAUUAGAACACAGGUUCCUUGACGAAAUUUGAAGAUGUAACCCGCCACCCAUGUUUCGCAGCCAUCGCCCAUGGACUUGCCAAGUUUCUGGUGGUGCCCAUUGUGGAUGAAAUUACUGAUUGCCUGAAGUACUCAAAGUUUCAUGAGUAUAACAAAGAUUACAGCUUGGGUAUCUGUAAAGUGGUUAUGUUGAGAUAAAAGGACAAUAAUUUGAGAUUUCUGUUU
Molecule: small RNA, 1993 nt
Filed under: Oryza sativa Japonica Group (Japanese rice)
Lineage: Eukaryota; Viridiplantae; Streptophyta; Magnoliopsida; Poales; Poaceae
Description: misc RNA Os03g0337200
Source: RNAcentral